GUUGAACGCUGGCGGCAUGCCUUACACAUGCAAGUCGAACGGCAGCACGGGUGCUUGCACCUGGUGGCGAGUGGCGAACGGGUGAGUAAUACAUCGGAACGUACCUUAUCGUGGGGGAUAACGCAGCGAAAGUUGCGCUAAUACCGCAUACGCCCUGAGGGGAAAGCGGGGGACCGUAAGGCCUCGCGCGAUUAGAGCGGCCGAUGUCUGAUUAGCUUGUUGGUGAGGUAAAAGCUCACCAAGGCGAUGAUCAGUAGCUGGUCUGAGAGGACGAUCAGCCACACUGGGACUGAGACACGGCCCAGACUCCUACGGGAGGCAGCAGUGGGGAAUUUUGGACAAUGGGGGCAACCCUGAUCCAGCAAUGCCGCGUGAGUGAAGAAGGCCUUCGGGUUGUAAAGCUCUUUUGUCAGGGAAGAAACAGCAGCUCUAACACAGUCUGCGAAUGACGGUACCUGAAGAAUAAGCACCGGCUAACUACGUGCCAGCAGCCGCAGUAA
Molecule: ribosomal RNA, 500 nt
Filed under: uncultured bacterium
Lineage: Bacteria
Description: partial 16S ribosomal RNA
Rfam family: Bacterial small subunit ribosomal RNA
Source: RNAcentral